This is a small nucleolar RNA of Cathartes aura (turkey vulture), 56 nucleotides long. It matches the Rfam family "Small nucleolar RNA SNORA69", at positions 1 to 56 of the family's 132-position model. Rfam says of the family: U69 is a member of the H/ACA class of small nucleolar RNAs (snoRNAs) which act as guides in the the modification of uridines to pseudouridines. NCBI's taxonomy places the organism in Eukaryota, Metazoa, Chordata, Aves, Accipitriformes, Cathartidae. The record is from Rfam.
AAAGCAGGCUGCAAUUACAGUGCUUCAUUCUGUGGGAGUACUGCCAUUUUCCUGCU